CGAACGAACCCUUCGGGGUUAGUGGCGCACGGGUGCGUAACGCGUGGGAACCUGCCUUUAGGUUCGGAAUAACAGUUAGAAAUGACUGCUAAUACCGGAUAAUGUCUUCGGACCAAAGAUUUAUCGCCUUUAGAUGGGCCCGCGUUAGAUUAGAUAGUUGGUGGGGUAAUGGCCUACCAAGUCGACGAUCUAUAGCUGGUCCGAGAGGAUGAUCAGCCACACUGGGACUGAGACACGGCCCAG
RNAcentral lists this ribosomal RNA (243 nucleotides) under uncultured bacterium. RNAcentral's name for it is "partial 16S ribosomal RNA". It matches the Rfam family "Bacterial small subunit ribosomal RNA", at positions 63 to 334 of the family's 1533-position model. The record is from RNAcentral.